This 442-nucleotide ribosomal RNA is filed under the name uncultured Aminobacterium sp. Its description in RNAcentral is "bacterial SSU rRNA". It matches the Rfam family "Bacterial small subunit ribosomal RNA", at positions 338 to 795 of the family's 1533-position model. The record is from RNAcentral. Lineage: Bacteria; Thermotogati; Synergistota; Synergistia; Synergistales; Aminobacteriaceae.
CCUACGGGGGGCUGCAGUGGGGAAUAUUGGGCAAUGGGCGCAAGCCUGACCCAGCGACGCCGCGUGAGGGAAGAAGGCCCUUGGGUCGUAAACCUCUGUUGUAUGGGAAGAAGGACGUGACGGUACCAUACGAGGAAGUCCCGGCUAACUACGUGCCAGCAGCCGCGGUAAUACGUAGGGGACGAGCGUUGUCCGGAAUUACUGGGCGUAAAGGGCGCGCAGGCGGAUAUUUAAGUCAGCUGUUAAAGUCAUGGGCUCAACUCAUGGAUGCGGUUGAAACUGGAUAUCUCGAGUGCUGGAGAGGUAGGCGGAAUUCCCGGUGUAGCGGUGAAAUGCGUAGAUAUCGGGAAGAACACCAGUGGCGAAGGCGGCUUACUGGCCAGCAACUGACGCUGAGGCGCGAAAGCCAGGGGAGCGAACGGGCUUAGAUACCCCAGUAGUC